GACGAACGCUGGCGGCGUGCCUAAUACAUGCAAGUCGAGCGGACCGACGGGAGCUUGYUCCCUUAGGUCAGCGGCGGACGGGUGAGUAACACGUGGGUAACCUGCCUGUAAGACUGGGAUAACUCCGGGAAACCGGGGYUAAUACCGGAUGCUUGAUUGAACCGCAUGGUUCAAUCAUAAAAGGUGGCUUUUAGCUACCACUURCAGAUGGACCCGCGGCGCAUUAGCUAGUUGGUGAGGUAACGGCUCACCAAGGCGACGAUGCGUAGCCGACCUGAGAGGGUGAUCGGCCACACUGGGACUGAGACACGGCCCAGACUCCUACGGGAGGCAGCAGUAGGGAAUCUUCCGCAAUGGACGAAAGUCUGACGGAGCAACGCCGCGUGAGUGAUGAAGGUUUUCGGAUCGUAAAACUCUGUUGUUAGGGAAGA
RNAcentral lists this ribosomal RNA (431 nucleotides) under Bacillus sp. R-31314. RNAcentral's name for it is "bacterial SSU rRNA". It matches the Rfam family "Bacterial small subunit ribosomal RNA", at positions 28 to 448 of the family's 1533-position model. The record is from RNAcentral. Lineage: Bacteria; Bacillati; Bacillota; Bacilli; Caryophanales; Bacillaceae.